GCAGCUAGUUGAUGUCCACACUGGCUGCAGAAUCUAGCCGUUUUCUCAAACGCAACAUGGCCACAACCUGUGCACUUCAUCUUGAAGUUUCAAUGGCGUCUGUAUUUCAGAGGGAACACUGUAUGACAGAGCUCGGGACAAAAUAUAUAUUUCACUUAAACGUUCUUGAAUUUGAAUUAAAUAUGAGAAACAACUAGCCAGCUAAAGGUAUAGCCACUUCCUUAAACUAAAGCCAGUCAAAUAUAUUCUAGGAUCUGUUUUGUGGCAGACUAUAAUAACUGCCCCAAACCCAUACAUACAGUAAGUUAUCUUCAGUCCAGGCUAUAUCUUCUGUUAACGUUAUGGCUCUACCCCCAAACAUAUUUUUUUCAUGUAGCUAAGUGAACUAGAAAUUGUUUUUCCUUCCUAAAUAUUAUUUAAAAGUAAUUAUAAUAUAUAACAUUGCAACCGAGCUAGCUCCUGUUACCUUGGGAAAAGCCGAAAGUUGUCAGUACAGUGUUGGUGUUCCUGAAUGCGCAACUCUGCCCACCCAGCGAUUGAUACAUUAUCCAGUCCGAAACGAAUCCUCUGCUACCCAGCCGAUAGCCACUUCCUCUUUCGUUUCUAGAAAACUACACAACAGCCUAGUGCCUGGAUAAUUAACUAGCCAACUGUAUUACAAUUGACGAAUGCAAAAGCUCCUCGGAAAUGACGAUGAAAUGCACUGACAUUAUCAACAGCAAGCUUUCUAGCUAGCCUGGCGAGGCUCUGUGCAGCUAUUGCUACAAUCCACUCGACAAAGGGUGGAAUGUUAGCUGAAACGACUGGUACCCAGAUAGCGGCUAACUAGCUAAACAAAAGCCCGGCCACAGAUCAAUAGUAACAUAUAGCUAGCUAUCUCCCAUAUAAACGUUAAACGAUUUCAAAUUCAUGCCAAAACCCCGUCACCGACAUGACAACGUACAGCAGUUUGUUCUGUAUUGCUAUCUGACAUUUAGAUAAUUAUUAUGACAUGACACCAACCCUUCACUGCCUCGAUUCAAGCAGUUACCAUCUAACUAGUUUGGUAAAUAGCCUACAGUUGUUAGCGACGUAGUACACCGUGACCUAGCUAGCUAGUCAUAUUGAGUUGCCCGGCAAAGCCGUCCACACCAUCUGACCUCAGUGCUAAGUCUCUUGGCUCCGGGAAUGUGGACAGGUCUCUCGGAGAGAAAAGGCUACCUCAGUGCUAAAGUUGGCUAACGUGAGUUCCCAAUGUAUCACAUGCAUGGCAAGCGAGGACAGCUACAUGGUGGGGGUUUUCCGAAUGACAUGGCACAAGUCCUCCUCUACUGUAAUGGUGAGGGUGAACACUGAGCAGCAUCCACUUAUGACAGUGGAUCUCACAGAUCAGGUUUCUAGCCCAGGGAUUUCCCCAUACACCCUGCUUGGAUGGGGGUACUCUGUGUGCAGCUCCCCCAGACGUUUUCUCUACAAUCACUGUGACUCAGCUGUCUCUACACCACCCUAGUAGGCUACUACUACUGCUGUACCUCCAGCCAAGUGGCCAGAGCAGGCUCUAAAGUGAGAACGUUACACAAUGCUGGCAUCAUAUUACAGCUACCCUGCUGGAGAAGAUGGCGUCCAAUCGUCUUGAAUGGAGGCUUGGUGGUCCAGCUACACGCCAUCCUGCAGUGUCACGAGGACACAGAGCCAGGGUCUUCCACGGUUUCGAGAAGGUGCCUUCCUAUCCCCUGCACCCGGCCGUCUCGCUCAGGGAGCCGGAGAGCAGGAUGACCUUCAGAUGAUGAGGUCAAGGGGCUAUGCCAUGGUGAUGCUUCAGCUCAGAAAAUGGAGAGUAGUCCUGGAAGUGGAAUUAUUAGAAAGAACAUUCCCAUUCAAGUCUUAUGUUCUGUGAUGGAUCUGUCAUUUAAGAGGGUUUCAGAGGAGAGUUUCUAUGUCAUCCCCUGUAGGUCACAGAAGGAGUGCACAUGGAGAGGUGAUGGAUUACUGUUUGAAUUUGCAUAAAGAAAUACAACCUAAAUAAAUUAGA
Long non-coding RNA from Oncorhynchus kisutch (coho salmon), 2011 nucleotides. RefSeq lists it as uncharacterized. NCBI's taxonomy places the organism in Eukaryota, Metazoa, Chordata, Actinopteri, Salmoniformes, Salmonidae. The transcript is spliced from 5 exons. The record is from RefSeq and is a predicted model, not a curated record.